This is a long non-coding RNA of Oncorhynchus keta (chum salmon), 273 nucleotides long. RefSeq lists it as uncharacterized. The record is from RefSeq and is a predicted model, not a curated record. The transcript has 3 exons. NCBI's taxonomy places the organism in Eukaryota, Metazoa, Chordata, Actinopteri, Salmoniformes, Salmonidae.
CCAAUAAGGUUACCAAUAAGGAUGCCAAUAAGGUUACCAAUAAGGAUGCCAAUAAGGUUACCAAUAAGGAUGCCAAUAAGGUUACCAAUAAGGAUGCCAAUAAGGUUACCAAUAAGGAUGCCAAUAAGGUUACCAAUAAGGAUGCCAAUAAGGUUACCAAUAAGGAUGCCAAUAAGGUUACCAAUAAGGAUGCCAAUAAGGUUACCAAUAAGGAUGCCAAUAAGGUUACCAAUAAGGAUGCCAAUAAGGUUACCAAUAAGGAUGCCAAUAAGG